Molecule: ribosomal RNA, 401 nt
Filed under: uncultured prokaryote
Description: bacterial SSU rRNA
Rfam family: Bacterial small subunit ribosomal RNA
Source: RNAcentral
UGGGGAAUAUUGCACAAUGGGCGAAAGCCUGAUGCAGCAACGCCGCGUGAGCGAUGAAGGCCUUCGGGUCGUAAAGCUCUGUCCUCAAGGAAGAUAAUGACGGUACUUGAGGAGGAAGCCCCGGCUAACUACGUGCCAGCAGCCGCGGUAAUACGUAGGGGGCUAGCGUUAUCCGGAUUUACUGGGCGUAAAGGGUGCGUAGGCGGUCUUUUAAGUCAGGAGUGAAAGGCUACGGCUCAACCGUAGUAAGCUCUUGAAACUGGAGGACUUGAGUGCAGGAGAGGAGAGUGGAAUUCCUAGUGUAGCGGUGAAAUGCGUAGAUAUUAGGAGGAACACCAGCGGCGCAGGCGGCUCACUAGACAGUUUCUGACGCUAAGAUACGAAAGCGUGGGGAGCAAACA